GUCUUGGUAGCUCAGAUGGCAGAACACUGGAGUACCGAUCCAGAGGCCAUGAGUUCAAGUCUCACCCAAGACA
Non-coding RNA from Cydia amplana, 73 nucleotides. Lineage: Eukaryota; Metazoa; Arthropoda; Insecta; Lepidoptera; Tortricidae. The record is from the annotation of a RefSeq genome assembly.